AACUCACAACCUCUCGGUUGGAAGUGAGGGUUGCUUACCAUCAGAGCAACCUCUCUUGUCUUUCGAAAAAACAACUGUAAGAAUCCUGGAUUCCUGAAUUAAUUUCUGCACUUUUUUCUGAUGUUCCUCUUCUUCCACAAGCUCUUCAUCAAACUUGAAUGCGCGAAUACCAGCAUUUACCAAAGCUAUAUGAAGAUGAUCUCCAAAUGUCUUUCUUAUUUCUUUACUU
This 229-nucleotide long non-coding RNA is filed under the name Nicotiana benthamiana. Its description in RNAcentral is "long non-coding RNA (NBEN_LNC041238)". The record is from RNAcentral. Lineage: Eukaryota; Viridiplantae; Streptophyta; Magnoliopsida; Solanales; Solanaceae.